GACGAACGCUGGCGGCGUGCUUAACACAUGCAAGUCGAACGGAAAGGCCCUGCUUUUGUGGGGUGCUCGAGUGGCGAACGGGUGAGUAACACGUGAGUAACCUGCCCUUGACUUUGGGAUAACUUCAGGAAACUGGGGCUAAUACCGGAUAGGAGCUCCUGCUGCAUGGUGGGGGUUGGAAAGUUUCGGCGGUUGGGGAUGGACUCGCGGCUUAUCAGCUUGUUGGUGGGGUAGUGGCUUACCAAGGCUUUGACGGGUAGCCGGCCUGAGAGGGUGACCGGCGACAUUGGGACUGAGAUACGGCCCAGACUCCUACGGGAGGCAGCAGUGGGGAAUCUUGCACAAUGGGCGGAAGCCUGAUGCAGCAACGCCGCGUGCGGGAUGACGGCCUUCGGGUUGUAAACCGCUUUCGCCUGUGACGAAGCGUGAGUGACGGUAAUGGGUAAAGAAGCACCGGCUAACUACGUG
This 468-nucleotide ribosomal RNA is filed under the name uncultured bacterium. Its description in RNAcentral is "partial 16S ribosomal RNA". It matches the Rfam family "Bacterial small subunit ribosomal RNA", at positions 28 to 507 of the family's 1533-position model. The record is from RNAcentral.